ACAGGGGCAUUGCCUUAGUAGCGGCGAGUGAAGCGGCAAAAGCUCAAAUUUGAAAUCUGGCACUUUCAGUGUCCGAGUUGUAAUUUGAAGAAGGUAUCUUUGGGUCUGGCUCUUGUCUAUGUUUCUUGGAACAGAACGUCACAGAGGGUGAGAAUCCCGUGCGAUGAGAUGUCCCAGACCUAUGUAAAGUUCCUUCGAAGAGUCGAGUUGUUUGGGAAUGCAGCUCUAAGUGGGUGGUAAAUUCCAUCUAAAGCUAAAUAUUGGCGAGAGACCGAUAGCGAACAAGUACAGUGAUGGAAAGAUGAAAAGAACUUUGAAAAGAGAGUGAAAAAGUACGUGAAAUUGUUGAAAGGGAAGGGCUUGAGAUCAGACUUGGUAUUUUGUAUGUUACUCUCUCGGGGGUGGCCUCUACAGUUUACCGGGCCAGCAUCAGUUUGAGCGGUAGGAUAAGUGCAAAGAAAUGUGGCACUGCUUCGGUAGUGUGUUAUAGUCUUUGUCGAUACUGCCAGCUUAGACUGAGGACUGCGGCUUCGGCCUAGGAUGUUGGCAUAAUGAUCUUAAGUCGCCCGUCUUGAAMMACGGACCAAA
Molecule: ribosomal RNA, 588 nt
Filed under: Lodderomyces parapsilosis
Lineage: Eukaryota; Fungi; Ascomycota; Pichiomycetes; Serinales; Debaryomycetaceae
Description: Candida parapsilosis partial large subunit ribosomal RNA
Rfam family: Eukaryotic large subunit ribosomal RNA
Source: RNAcentral